GAUGAACGCUAGCUACAGGCUUAACACAUGCAAGUCGAGGGGUAACAAGAGGAAAGCUUGCUUUCCUUGUUGACGACCGGCGCACGGGUGAGUAACGCGUAUCCAACCUGCCUAUAACUAGGGAAUAACCUUGCGAAAGUAAGACUAAUACCCUAUGAUUUCCUUUGAUGACAUCAGAUUAGGAAUAAAGAUUUAUCGGUUAUAGAUGGGGAUGCGUCUGAUUAGCUUGUUGGCGGGGUAACGGCCCACCAAGGCAACGAUCAGUAGGGGUUCUGAGAGGAAGGUCCCCCACAUUGGAACUGAGACACGGUCCAAACUCCUACGGGAGGCAGCAGUGAGGAAUAUUGGUCAAUGGGCGGAAGCCUGAACCAGCCAAGUAGCGUGCAGGAUGACGGCCCUAUGGGUUGUAAACUGCUUUUAUACAGGAAUAAAGUUAGCCACGUGUGGUUAUUUGUAGGUACUGUAUGAAUAAGGACCGGCUAAUUCCGUGCCAGCCGCCGCCGUAA
Molecule: ribosomal RNA, 506 nt
Filed under: uncultured bacterium
Lineage: Bacteria
Description: partial 16S ribosomal RNA
Rfam family: Bacterial small subunit ribosomal RNA
Source: RNAcentral